This 731-nucleotide long non-coding RNA is filed under the name Homo sapiens (human). RNAcentral's name for it is "lnc-LBCS". The record is from RNAcentral. Lineage: Eukaryota; Metazoa; Chordata; Mammalia; Primates; Hominidae.
UUUUAGAUGAAUAACAAAAUGAGUUCAAAUUUUUAUUUGUGUUGACUACCACCAGCAGCGACCCGUGGGAAGUAAGUGAAAAGCAAGUAUUCCUAUUUUGACUACACAUUCUAAUGUAUUGGUUAUUUAUAUUUAUGAUCACCAACUAUUAUCUAUUAGACUUCUCCGGAUUUAACUGUUUAGGAAGUGAGCUGUAGACAUACAGAAACCAAGGAUUAUUUUGAGCCAAUAAACAGUGACUUGACCAACCGAAUGCCUUGUGUGGUUAUUAAUCAUUCCAUAUCACCAUCAUCAAAAGACACUGUGCAUCUACUCAGCUGGGCCAGGGGAUUAAAGGUUUACGAAAGAGUCCCUCCUUGCCUUUAAACGGUUUAAAGUCUGUUUGAGGAUGGGUCCAAAUACAUAAAAUGAUGAAUAACAAAGCGAAGAACAUGCUGAAAUCUGGACUGACAAAAGAAAAGGGCCAAAGGGCUUGUUUUUACUGGAAGUAUUUUUGCAUAAGCUGGGAAGGGAGUUUGCAUCUUCUGGACUCAUAGAUCAGACAAAUGAGCAGCUUCAACAAAGCAGAUUUAUGCUAUCCACCAGGAGGGUUUUGCUUAGUUGUCAGUUGUGGACUUUCUUCCAAAAAUGCAGCUGUUUUGAAGCAAGAAAUCCGGGCGCCCUGAAGCCCAGCGCAAGCAAGCGAGUGAGCGCGCAGGCUGGCUGGGCUGCUCCAGCUGGAAGUCAUUGUG